Neomonachus schauinslandi (Hawaiian monk seal) is the source of this 556-nucleotide long non-coding RNA. RefSeq lists it as uncharacterized. The transcript has 3 exons. Lineage: Eukaryota; Metazoa; Chordata; Mammalia; Carnivora; Phocidae. The record is from RefSeq and is a predicted model, not a curated record.
CUUCCCCUGGUCACAUGACCCCAGGCCUUCCUAGUGCUGCAUUCAUCCCUACAAUGAUUGGUCCAGGAACAGAAAGUCAGCCUGAGGUCCUUCCUCAGAGCUUCUGUUUGAAGGUGAAGAAGACACUUUGCCUUUGGGGUCAUGGAGUAGAAGGAUGGAUUGCCUAUGCCCCUUUCCCACCAUGUGGAGAGAGCCAACCACCGCUGCAGAGAAGUUGGCCCACAGAUAGAGAAGAAAAAGCUGCAGACACCCUACGGCCAUGUCCUAGGUGCUGGGGACACAGCAGUGAACAAACGCUUGUCCUCGAUGAGCUUCCAUUCCCACGAGAAACGAGUCAACAAGAGCAGCAAAGCACACGAUCAUUGGCUACACAGACACACACCAGCAGAUCGAGGCGCCAGGACCUCCCUGUGGUCCACUUAGCCGUUUUCCCCAGAGGAUCCGUGUUUCUGGAAUUCAGGGCCAGCCCUGGUGGGAGGAGGCGUCAGAGCUGAUCAGGUUAAGUCGGAGAUUAUCUGGAGAGGGGAGGGUACUUUGGCUUUAUACUGGCCUCAAA